RNAcentral lists this ribosomal RNA (2933 nucleotides) under Enterobacter sp. RHBSTW-00318. Its description in RNAcentral is "23S ribosomal RNA". It matches the Rfam family "Bacterial large subunit ribosomal RNA". Lineage: Bacteria; Pseudomonadati; Pseudomonadota; Gammaproteobacteria; Enterobacterales; Enterobacteriaceae. The record is from RNAcentral.
GGGUUGUGAGGUUAAGCGACUAAGCGUACACGGUGGAUGCCCUGGCAGUCAGAGGCGAUGAAGGACGUGCUAAUCUGCGAAAAGCGCCGGCGAGGUGAUAUGAACCUUUGACCCGGCGAUGUCCGAAUGGGGAAACCCAGUGUGUUCCGACACACUAUCGUUAACUGAAUACAUAGGUUAACGAGGCGAACCGGGGGAACUGAAACAUCUAAGUACCCCGAGGAAAAGAAAUCAACCGAGAUUCCCCCAGUAGCGGCGAGCGAACGGGGAGCAGCCCAGAGUCUGAAUCAGCUUGUGUGUUAGUGGAAGCGUCUGGAAAGUCGCACGGUACAGGGUGACAGUCCCGUACACGAAAGCACACAGGCUGUGAACUCGAAGAGUAGGGCGGGACACGUGGUAUCCUGUCUGAAUAUGGGGGGACCAUCCUCCAAGGCUAAAUACUCCUGACUGACCGAUAGUGAACCAGUACCGUGAGGGAAAGGCGAAAAGAACCCCGGCGAGGGGAGUGAAAAAGAACCUGAAACCGUGUACGUACAAGCAGUGGGAGCCUCUUUUAUGGGGUGACUGCGUACCUUUUGUAUAAUGGGUCAGCGACUUAUAUUCUGUAGCAAGGUUAACCGUAUAGGGGAGCCGAAGGGAAACCGAGUCUUAACUGGGCGUUAAGUUGCAGGGUAUAGACCCGAAACCCGGUGAUCUAGCCAUGGGCAGGUUGAAGGUUGGGUAACACUAACUGGAGGACCGAACCGACUAAUGUUGAAAAAUUAGCGGAUGACUUGUGGCUGGGGGUGAAAGGCCAAUCAAACCGGGAGAUAGCUGGUUCUCCCCGAAAGCUAUUUAGGUAGCGCCUCGUGAACUCAUCUUCGGGGGUAGAGCACUGUUUCGGCUAGGGGGCCAUCCCGGCUUACCAACCCGAUGCAAACUACGAAUACCGAAGAAUGUUAUCACGGGAGACACACGGCGGGUGCUAACGUCCGUCGUGAAGAGGGAAACAACCCAGACCGCCAGCUAAGGUCCCAAAGUCAUGGUUAAGUGGGAAACGAUGUGGGAAGGCACAGACAGCCAGGAUGUUGGCUUAGAAGCAGCCAUCAUUUAAAGAAAGCGUAAUAGCUCACUGGUCGAGUCGGCCUGCGCGGAAGAUGUAACGGGGCUAAACCAUGCACCGAAGCUGCGGCAGCGACACUAUGUGUUGUUGGGUAGGGGAGCGUUCUGUAAGCCGUUGAAGGUGUCCUGUGAGGGGUGCUGGAGGUAUCAGAAGUGCGAAUGCUGACAUAAGUAACGAUAAAGCGGGUGAAAAGCCCGCUCGCCGGAAGACCAAGGGUUCCUGUCCAACGUUAAUCGGGGCAGGGUGAGUCGACCCCUAAGGCGAGGCCGAAAGGCGUAGUCGAUGGGAAACAGGUUAAUAUUCCUGUACUUGGUGUUACUGCGAAGGGGGGACGGAGAAGGCUAUGUUAGCCGGGCGACGGUUGUCCCGGUUUAAGCAUGUAGGCGGAGGUUCCAGGUAAAUCCGGUUCCUUGUUAACGCUGAGGUGUGAUGACGAGGCACUACGGUGCUGAAGUAACAAAUGCCCUGCUUCCAGGAAAAGCCUCUAAGCAUCAGGUAACAUCAAAUCGUACCCCAAACCGACACAGGUGGUCAGGUAGAGAAUACCAAGGCGCUUGAGAGAACUCGGGUGAAGGAACUAGGCAAAAUGGUGCCGUAACUUCGGGAGAAGGCACGCUGAUAUGUAGGUGAAGCCCCUGCGGGUGGAGCUGAAAUCAGUCGAAGAUACCAGCUGGCUGCAACUGUUUAUUAAAAACACAGCACUGUGCAAACACGAAAGUGGACGUAUACGGUGUGACGCCUGCCCGGUGCCGGAAGGUUAAUUGAUGGGGUUAGCGGUAACGCGAAGCUCUUGAUCGAAGCCCCGGUAAACGGCGGCCGUAACUAUAACGGUCCUAAGGUAGCGAAAUUCCUUGUCGGGUAAGUUCCGACCUGCACGAAUGGCGUAAUGAUGGCCAGGCUGUCUCCACCCGAGACUCAGUGAAAUUGAACUCGCUGUGAAGAUGCAGUGUACCCGCGGCAAGACGGAAAGACCCCGUGAACCUUUACUAUAGCUUGACACUGAACACUGGUCCUUGAUGUGUAGGAUAGGUGGGAGGCUUUGAAGCGUGGACGCCAGUCUGCGUGGAGCCAACCUUGAAAUACCACCCUUUAAUGGCUGGUGUUCUAACGUAGACCCGUAAUCCGGGUUGCGGACAGUGUCUGGUGGGUAGUUUGACUGGGGCGGUCUCCUCCCAAAGAGUAACGGAGGAGCACGAAGGUUAGCUAAUCCUGGUCGGACAUCAGGAGGUUAGUGCAAUGGCAUAAGCUAGCUUGACUGCGAGAGUGACGGCUCGAGCAGGUGCGAAAGCAGGUCAUAGUGAUCCGGUGGUUCUGAAUGGAAGGGCCAUCGCUCAACGGAUAAAAGGUACUCCGGGGAUAACAGGCUGAUACCGCCCAAGAGUUCAUAUCGACGGCGGUGUUUGGCACCUCGAUGUCGGCUCAUCACAUCCUGGGGCUGAAGUAGGUCCCAAGGGUAUGGCUGUUCGCCAUUUAAAGUGGUACGCGAGCUGGGUUUAGAACGUCGUGAGACAGUUCGGUCCCUAUCUGCCGUGGGCGCUGGAGAAUUGAGGGGGGCUGCUCCUAGUACGAGAGGACCGGAGUGGACGCAUCACUGGUGUUCGGGUUGUCAUGCCAAUGGCACUGCCCGGUAGCUAAAUGCGGAAGAGAUAAGUGCUGAAAGCAUCUAAGCACGAAACUUGCCCCGAGAUGAGUUCUCCCUGAGACUUUAAGUCUCCUGAAGGAACGUUGAAGACUACGACGUUGAUAGGUCGGGUGUGUAAGCGCAGCGAUGCGUUGAGCUAACCGAUACUAAUGAACCGUGAGGCUUAACCUUACAACGCCGAAGGUGUUU